This 361-nucleotide ribosomal RNA is filed under the name uncultured fungus. RNAcentral describes it as "LSU rRNA". It matches the Rfam family "Eukaryotic large subunit ribosomal RNA", at positions 65 to 424 of the family's 3401-position model. Lineage: Eukaryota; Fungi. The record is from RNAcentral.
CCAACAGGGAUUACCUCAGUAACGGCGAGUGAAGCGGUAACAGCUCAAAUUUGAAAUCUGGCCUCACGGUCCGAGUUGUAAUUUGUAGAGGAUGCUUCGAGCAUGGUCUGGCCUAAGUUCCUUGGAACAGGACGUCAUAGGGGGUGAGAAUCCCGUAUGCGGCCAGGUGCCUACGCUCAUGUGAAGCUCCUUCGACGAGUCGAGUUGUUUGGGAAUGCAGGGUCAAAAUGGGUGGUAAAUUUCAUCUAAAGCUAAAUAUUGGCCAGAGACCGAUAGCGCACAAGUAGAGUGAUCGAAAGAUGAAAAGCACUUUGGAAAGAGAGUUAAACAGUACGUGAAAUUGUUGAAAGGGGAAGCGCUU